AGUGAACGCUGGCGGUAGGCCUAACACAUGCAAGUCGAACGGCAGCACAGUAAGAGCUUGCUCUUACGGGUGGCGAGUGGCGGACGGGUGAGGAAUACAUCGGAAUCUACUUUUUCGUGGGGGAUAACGUAGGGAAACUUACGCUAAUACCGCAUACGACCUGCGGGUGAAAGCAGGGGAUCUUCGGACCUUGCGCGAUUGAAUGAGCCGAUGUCGGAUUAGCUAGUUGGCGGGGUAAAGGCCCACCAAGGCGACGAUCCGUAGCUGGUCUGAGAGGAUGAUCAGCCACACUGGAACUGAGACACGGUCCAGACUCCUACGGGAGGCAGCAGUGGGGAAUAUUGGACAAUGGGCGCAAGCCUGAUCCAGCCAUACCGCGUGGGUGAAGAAGGCCUUCGGGUUGUAAAGCCCUUUUGUUGGGAAAGAAAAGCAGCAGGUUAAUACCCCGCUGUUCUGACGGUACCCAAGGAAUAAGCACCGGCUAACUUCGUG
This 492-nucleotide ribosomal RNA is filed under the name uncultured bacterium. Its description in RNAcentral is "partial 16S ribosomal RNA". It matches the Rfam family "Bacterial small subunit ribosomal RNA", at positions 29 to 507 of the family's 1533-position model. The record is from RNAcentral.